RNAcentral lists this ribosomal RNA (441 nucleotides) under uncultured bacterium. RNAcentral's name for it is "partial 16S ribosomal RNA". It matches the Rfam family "Bacterial small subunit ribosomal RNA", at positions 338 to 795 of the family's 1533-position model. The record is from RNAcentral.
CCUACGGGUGGCAGCAGUGGGGAAUAUUGCACAAUGGGGGCAACUCUGAUGCAGCGACGCCGCGUGCGCGAGGACGUAUUUCUGUAUUGAAAGCUCUAUCAGUAGGGACGAAAAAAGACGGUACCUGACUAAGAAGCCCCGGCUAACUACGUGCCAGCAGCCGCGGUAAGACGUAGGUGGCAAGCGUUAUCCGGAUUUACUGGGGGUAAAGGGAGCGUAGGCGGGAAGGCAAGCCAGAAGUGAAAGGGCAGGGCUCAACCCUGUACAUGCUUUUGAAACUGGGCUGCUAGAGUGCAGGAGAGGUAAGUGGAAUGCCUAGUGUAGCGGUGAAAUGCGUAGAUAUUAGGCGGAACACCAGUGGCGAAGGCGGCUUACUGGACUGCAUCUGACGUUGAGGCUCGAAAGCGUGGGGAGCAAACAGGAUUAGAUACCCCGGUAGUC